AAGACCUCGCCCGGGUAUAUACAGUGAA
RNAcentral lists this small RNA (28 nucleotides) under Bombyx mori (domestic silkworm). Its description in RNAcentral is "ovarian small RNA-4262". The record is from RNAcentral. Lineage: Eukaryota; Metazoa; Arthropoda; Insecta; Lepidoptera; Bombycidae.